RNAcentral lists this ribosomal RNA (402 nucleotides) under Triticum aestivum (bread wheat). RNAcentral describes it as "partial small subunit ribosomal RNA". Lineage: Eukaryota; Viridiplantae; Streptophyta; Magnoliopsida; Poales; Poaceae. The record is from RNAcentral.
AUGAUGCGUGGUCCAUCCGGGCACGGCAUCGGCGGGCACCACCUCACAAGUGCACGACUUUGGCAGCCAACACCGGCACCCAAAUCAGAUCCACCGAACCCAGGCGUGGGCUCCGACGGGUGUGAGGAGGAGAUGACCAAGGGCGAGGGUCCAUUGAUCCGCAUCGACCUCGAGACGACCUACUCCUACGCCGGCAUGUGGCUGCAGGUUGAGAUCAGGGCCAACGACCAGGGCAACCACACCACACUACAUAGCCUGAACCAUCUCGCAAUGAACCCCACCAACACCAUCGCCGGUUUGUGUCUUCUUACUAAGUACACACUAGUUGAGCAGCUGAGCUUGAGGCAGCAACCAAGGAGCUUGAGGCGUUGCAUGUUGAUCAAAAUCAAGAAACACAUGUAA